UACGGAGGAUGCAAGCGUUGUCCGGAAUUAUUGGGCGUAAAGGGUCCGCAGGUGGCCAUGUAAGUCUGCUGUCAAAGAAUGAGGCUUAACCUCAUCAAGGCAGUGGAAACUACAUAGCUAGAGUACGGUCGGGGUAGAAGGAAUUCCUGGUGUAGCGGUGAAAUGCGUAGAGAUCAGGAAGAACACCGGUGGCGAAAGCGUUCUGCUAGACCUGUACUGACACUGAGGGACGAAAGCUAGGGGAGCGAAUGGG
RNAcentral lists this ribosomal RNA (253 nucleotides) under uncultured bacterium. Its description in RNAcentral is "partial 16S ribosomal RNA". It matches the Rfam family "Bacterial small subunit ribosomal RNA", at positions 524 to 776 of the family's 1533-position model. The record is from RNAcentral.